ACGCUCGACACCUACGGGGCAGCAGUGGGGGAUAUUGCACAAUGGGGGAAACCCUGAUGCAGCAACGCCGCGUGUGGGAAGAAGGUUUUCGGAUUGUAAACCACUGUUCUCAGGGACGAUAAUGACGGUACCUGAGGAGAAAGCUCCGGCUAACUACGUGCCAGCAGCCGCGGUAAUCUGAGCGGGCUGGCAAGGC
Molecule: ribosomal RNA, 196 nt
Filed under: uncultured bacterium
Lineage: Bacteria
Description: partial 16S ribosomal RNA
Rfam family: Bacterial small subunit ribosomal RNA
Source: RNAcentral